RNAcentral lists this ribosomal RNA (301 nucleotides) under uncultured bacterium. Its description in RNAcentral is "partial 16S ribosomal RNA". It matches the Rfam family "Bacterial small subunit ribosomal RNA", at positions 509 to 807 of the family's 1533-position model. The record is from RNAcentral.
CAGUCGCCACGGUAAUACGAAGGGGGCUAGCGUUGCUCGGAAUUACUGGGCGUAAAGGGCGCGUAGGCGGACAGUUCAGUCGGGGGUGAAAGCCCGGGGCUCAACCUCGGAAUUGCCUUCGAUACUGGCUGUCUUGAGUAUGAGAGAGGUGUGUGGAACUCCGAGUGUAGAGGUGAAAUUCGUAGAUAUUCGGAAGAACACCAGUGGCGAAGGCGACACACUGGCUCAUUACUGACGCUGAGGCGCGAAAGCGUGGGGAGCAAACAGGAUUAGAUACCCGCGUAGUCCCUGUCUCUUAUAC